This 822-nucleotide long non-coding RNA is filed under the name Homo sapiens (human). Its description in RNAcentral is "HSALNT0073643". The record is from RNAcentral. Lineage: Eukaryota; Metazoa; Chordata; Mammalia; Primates; Hominidae.
CGGACCCCACUGCGCCCAAACCGAAGUCAUGUAAGUCCCGCCCCGCGCUGCCUCUGCCACCGCCGGGGUCCCAGACCCUCCUGCUGCCCCAACCCUGUCCCCAGCCCGACCUCCUGCCUCACGAGAUUCCCUUCCCUCUGCAGAGCCACACUCAAGAAUGGGCGGAAAGCUUGCCUCAAUCCUGCAUCCCCCAUAGUUAAGAAAAUCAUCGAAAAGAUGCUGAACAGUGACAAAUCCAACUGACCAGAAGGGAGGAGGAAGCUCACUGGUGGCUGUUCCUGAAGGAGGCCCUGCCCUUAUAGGAACAGAAGAGGAAAGAGAGACACAGCUGCAGAGGCCACCUGGAUUGUGCCUAAUGUGUUUGAGCAUCGCUUAGGAGAAGUCUUCUAUUUAUUUAUUUAUUCAUUAGUUUUGAAGAUUCUAUGUUAAUAUUUUAGGUGUAAAAUAAUUAAGGGUAUGAUUAACUCUACCUGCACACUGUCCUAUUAUAUUCAUUCUUUUUGAAAUGUCAACCCCAAGUUAGUUCAAUCUGGAUUCAUAUUUAAUUUGAAGGUAGAAUGUUUUCAAAUGUUCUCCAGUCAUUAUGUUAAUAUUUCUGAGGAGCCUGCAACAUGCCAGCCACUGUGAUAGAGGCUGGCGGAUCCAAGCAAAUGGCCAAUGAGAUCAUUGUGAAGGCAGGGGAAUGUAUGUGCACAUCUGUUUUGUAACUGUUUAGAUGAAUGUCAGUUGUUAUUUAUUGAAAUGAUUUCACAGUGUGUGGUCAACAUUUCUCAUGUUGAAACUUUAAGAACUAAAAUGUUCUAAAUAUCCCUUGGACAUUUU